Gossypium raimondii (Peruvian cotton) is the source of this 434-nucleotide long non-coding RNA. RefSeq lists it as uncharacterized. Lineage: Eukaryota; Viridiplantae; Streptophyta; Magnoliopsida; Malvales; Malvaceae. The transcript is spliced from 2 exons. The record is from RefSeq and is a predicted model, not a curated record.
AUCAGCUAGGAUAAAGGGGAUAGGAAUGAAUUUUUUUAAUUUUUUGCUGGAGGCCGUUAAUUCUUCCAUAAAAAGAGGCGUACAGCAGUUUUAAAAGAGCAGUCGAACAGCAGAGGAAAGUAGCAGAAAAGUGUGGCACUCGAGCAAAGGAAAAUCUGAAAUUGAAUGAGAAAAAGCCGAAUCAGAAAUCUAAGUAGCAGCCUAGAAUUUCAACUAAUCAAGAGAAGAGAAGCUCGACGAUUUGGGAAUUUUUUCUUCUCCAAAAUUCAGUUUCAAAGGACUUGUGCUGGGUGGAUUAAGGCGUCAAUGACUAAGCAUUAUUCUUCUCUUGAUAUUUCCAUCUCAGCAGUUUUAAUUUGAGCCAAAGCUUAUUUGUUAUUUGAGAUUAUUUUUAUCAAUCGUAACACAUAACCCCCCCCCACUUUUCCUUUUUA